GGUUAAGCGACUAAGCGUACACGGUGGAUGCCCUGGCAGUCAGAGGCGAUGAAGGACGUGCUAAUCUGCGAAAAGCGUCGGUAAGGUGAUAUGAACCGUUAUAGCCGGCGAUGUCCGAAUGGGGAAACCCAGUGCAAUUCGUUGCACUAUCGUUAACUGAAUACAUAGGUUAACGAGGCGAACCGGGGGAACUGAAACAUCUAAGUACCCCGAGGAAAAGAAAUCAACCGAGAUUCCCCCAGUAGCGGCGAGCGAACGGGGAGCAGCCCGGAGUCUGAAUCAGCUUGUGUGUUAGUGGAAGCGUCUGGAAAGUCGCAGGGUACAGGGUGAUACUCCCGUACACUAAAACACACAGGUUGUGAACUCGAAGAGUAGGGCGGGACACGUGGUAUCCUGUCUGAAUAUGGGGGGACCAUCCUCCAAGGCUAAAUACUCCUGACUGACCGAUAGUGAACCAGUACCGUGAGGGAAAGGCGAAAAGAACCCCGGCGAGGGGAGUGAAAAAGAACCUGAAACCGUGUACGUACAAGCAGUAGGAGCCCACUUGUUGGGUGACUGCGUACCUUUUGUAUAAUGGGUCAGCGACUUAUAUUCUGUAGCAAGGUUAACCGUAUAGGGGAGCCGCAGGGAAACCGAGUCUUAACUGGGCGUUAAGUUGCAGGGUAUAGACCCGAAACCCGGUGAUCUAGCCAUGGGCAGGUUGAAGGUUGGGUAACACUAACUGGAGGACCGAACCGACUAAUGUUGAAAAAUUAGCGGAUGACUUGUGGCUGGGGGUGAAAGGCCAAUCAAACCGGGAGAUAGCUGGUUCUCCCCGAAAGCUAUUUAGGUAGCGCCUCGUGAAUUCAUCUUCGGGGGUAGAGCACUGUUUCGGCUAGGGGGUCAUCCCGACUUACCAACCCGAUGCAAACUACGAAUACCGAAGAAUGUUAUCACGGGAGACACACGGCGGGUGCUAACGUCCGUCGUGAAGAGGGAAACAACCCAGACCGCCAGCUAAGGUCCCAAAGUCAUGGUUAAGUGGGAAACGAUGUGGGAAGGCCCAGACAGCCAGGAUGUUGGCUUAGAAGCAGCCAUCAUUUAAAGAAAGCGUAAUAGCUCACUGGUCGAGUCGGCCUGCGCGGAAGAUGUAACGGGGCUAAACCAUGCACCGAAGCUGCGGCAGCGACACUAUGUGUUGUUGGGUAGGGGAGCGUUCUGUAAGCCGUUGAAGGUGGCCUGUGAGGGUUGCUGGAGGUAUCAGAAGUGCGAAUGCUGACAUAAGUAACGAUAAUGCGGGUGAAAAACCCGCACGCCGGAAGACCAAGGGUUCCUGUCCAACGUUAAUCGGGGCAGGGUGAGUCGACCCCUAAGGCGAGGCCGAAAGGCGUAGUCGAUGGGAAACAGGUUAAUAUUCCUGUACUCGGUGUUACUGCGAAGGGGGGACGGAGAAGGCUAUGUUGGCCGGGCGACGGUUGUCCCGGUUUAAGCAUGUAGGCGGAUGUUCCAGGUAAAUCCGGAACGUCACUAACGCUGAGGUGUGAUGACGAGGCACUACGGUGCUGAAGUGACAAAUGCCCUGCUUCCAGGAAAAGCCUCUAAGCAUCAGGUAACAUCAAAUCGUACCCCAAACCGACACAGGUGGUCAGGUAGAGAAUACCAAGGCGCUUGAGAGAACUCGGGUGAAGGAACUAGGCAAAAUGGUGCCGUAACUUCGGGAGAAGGCACGCUGAUGGUAGGUGAAGCGACUUGCUCGUGGAGCUGAAAUCAGUCGAAGAUACCAGCUGGCUGCAACUGUUUAUUAAAAACACAGCACUGUGCAAACACGAAAGUGGACGUAUACGGUGUGACGCCUGCCCGGUGCCGGAAGGUUAAUUGAUGGGGUUAUCCGUAAGGAGAAGCUCUUGAUCGAAGCCCCGGUAAACGGCGGCCGUAACUAUAACGGUCCUAAGGUAGCGAAAUUCCUUGUCGGGUAAGUUCCGACCUGCACGAAUGGCGUAAUGAUGGCCAGGCUGUCUCCACCCGAGACUCAGUGAAAUUGAACUCGCUGUGAAGAUGCAGUGUACCCGCGGCAAGACGGAAAGACCCCGUGAACCUUUACUAUAGCUUGACACUGAACACUGGUCCUUGAUGUGUAGGAUAGGUGGGAGGCUUUGAAGUGUGGACGCCAGUCUGCAUGGAGCCAUCCUUGAAAUACCACCCUUUAAUGGCUGGUGUUCUAACGUGGGCCCCUAAUCGGGGUUGCGGACAGUGUCUGGUGGGUAGUUUGACUGGGGCGGUCUCCUCCUAAAGAGUAACGGAGGAGCACGAAGGUCAGCUAAUCCUGGUCGGACAUCAGGAGGUUAGUGCAAUGGCAUAAGCUGGCUUGACUGCGAGCGUGACGGCGCGAGCAGGUGCGAAAGCAGGUCAUAGUGAUCCGGUGGUUCUGAAUGGAAGGGCCAUCGCUCAACGGAUAAAAGGUACUCCGGGGAUAACAGGCUGAUACCGCCCAAGAGUUCAUAUCGACGGCGGUGUUUGGCACCUCGAUGUCGGCUCAUCACAUCCUGGGGCUGAAGUAGGUCCCAAGGGUAUGGCUGUUCGCCAUUUAAAGUGGUACGCGAGCUGGGUUUAGAACGUCGUGAGACAGUUCGGUCCCUAUCUGCCGUGGGCGCUGGAGAAUUGAGGGGGGCUGCUCCUAGUACGAGAGGACCGGAGUGGACGCAUCACUGGUGUUCGGGUUGUCAUGCCAAUGGCAUUGCCCGGUAGCUAAAUGCGGAAGAGAUAAGUGCUGAAAGCAUCUAAGUACGAAACUUGCCCCGAGAUGAGUUCUCCCUGACUCCUUGAGAGUCCUGAAGGAACGUUGAAGACGACGACGUUGAUAGGCCGGGUGUGUAAGCGCAGCGAUGCGUUGAGCUAACCGGUACUAAUGAACCGUGAGGCUUAACCUU
RNAcentral lists this ribosomal RNA (2906 nucleotides) under Klebsiella michiganensis. RNAcentral's name for it is "23S ribosomal RNA". It matches the Rfam family "Bacterial large subunit ribosomal RNA". Lineage: Bacteria; Pseudomonadati; Pseudomonadota; Gammaproteobacteria; Enterobacterales; Enterobacteriaceae. The record is from RNAcentral.